CACGUAGGGGACGAGCGUUGUCCGGAUUCAUUGGGCGUAAAGCGUGCGUAGGCGGCUCGGAAAGUCGGUCGUGAAAUGCCGGGGCUCAACCCCGGGACUGCGUCCGAUACUUCCGGGCUGGAGGUAGGUAGGGGAGAUCGGAAUUCCUGGUGUAGCGGUGAAAUGCGCAGAUAUCAGGAGGAACACCGGUGGCGAAGGCGGAUCUCUGGGCCUUACCUGACGCUGAGGAGCGAAAGCGUGGGGAGCGAACAGG
This 253-nucleotide ribosomal RNA is filed under the name uncultured bacterium. Its description in RNAcentral is "partial 16S ribosomal RNA". It matches the Rfam family "Bacterial small subunit ribosomal RNA", at positions 524 to 776 of the family's 1533-position model. The record is from RNAcentral.